This 497-nucleotide ribosomal RNA is filed under the name uncultured bacterium. RNAcentral describes it as "partial 16S ribosomal RNA". It matches the Rfam family "Bacterial small subunit ribosomal RNA", at positions 28 to 523 of the family's 1533-position model. The record is from RNAcentral.
GAUGAACGCUGGCGGCGUGCUUAACACAUGCAAGUCGAACGAAGCACCUUAUUCUGAUUUCUUCGGAAUGAAAAAUUUGGUGACUGAGUGGCGGACGGGUGAGUAACGCGUGGGUAACCUGCCUCAUACAGGGGGAUAACAGUUAGAAAUGACUGCUAAUACCGCAUAAGACCACAGCACCGCAUGGUGCAGGGGUAAAAACUCCGGUGGCAUGAGAUGGACCCGCGUCUGAUUAGGUAGUUGGUGGGGUAACAGCCUACCAAGCCGACGAUCAGUGGCCGACCUGAGAGGGUGACCGGCCACAUUGGGACUGAGACACGGCCCAAACUCCUACGGGAGGCAGCAGUGGGGAAUAUUGCACAAUGGGGGAAACCCUGAUGCAGCGACGCCGCGUGAGCGAUGAAGUAUUUCGGUAUGUAAAGCUCUAUCAGCAGGGAAGAAAAUGACAGCACCUGACUAAGAAGCACCGGCUAAAUACGUGCCAGCCGCCGCGGUAA